This 7685-nucleotide long non-coding RNA is filed under the name Prunus persica (peach). Its description in RNAcentral is "long non-coding RNA (PPER_LNC004146)". Lineage: Eukaryota; Viridiplantae; Streptophyta; Magnoliopsida; Rosales; Rosaceae. The record is from RNAcentral.
UAGGUGCUGGCUGGAUCCCUAUUAUGUAUAUAAAUAGUACAGCCGCCCGGCUAUAAUAGAUUUUUAAAUUUUUUUUAAAAAUAGUAUAGCCGCGCGGCUAUACUCGCUUUUAAACCCUUUUUUUUAAAUGUUCAGAACAGUACGGCCGCAUGGUUUGACACGUGGCGCCUAGGUGCUGGCUGGAUCCCUAUUAUGUAUAUAAAUAGUACAGCCGCCCGGCUAUAAUAGAUUUUAAAAAUUUUUUUUUUGAAAUAGUAUAGCCGGGCGGCUAUACUCGGUUUUAACCCCUUUUUUUUUAAAAAAAAUGUUCAGAACAGUACGGCCGCAUGGUUUGACACGUGGCGCAUAGGUGCUGGCUGGAUCCCUAUUAUGUAUAUAAAUAGUAUAGCCGCCCGGCGAUACUAGAUUUUCUUAAUUUUUUUUAAAUAGUAUAGCCGCGCGGCUGUACCCUGCUAACCUAGCGAAUUUUGAAAAUAUAAAAUCAGUUUCUUUACUUUUGAUUUUUGUUGCCAACUUCUUUAAUUUCAUAUAUGUAAUUAAUUUAUAUCUUAGCCUUUUUGAAUUACUUUAAUUAGUAAGUACUUGAAGUUCAAUUUUUUUAAAUAUAUUUGAAGCCCAUGAAUUACUUUAAUUAAGGUCUUGAAGGGCUUAAUGAAUACAUUUAGAGACCUCAAAGGUUACGUAUUAUACAUGUACGUACGUGUUUUUCAUGUUUAACACACGUAUACACGCACAUAUUAUGGAAUAAAAAUAAUAUAUAUUUAAAAAAUACGGUAUAGUGACCGAAUUUUUGGGUUGUAAUGUGCCAAGAUAUUGCCGAAUCAAACACAUACGUAUUUAAUUCGCAUUUUUUUUCCUUCCGUAUUUUACUAACUAUGAAUGAAUGUGAGAGCUCACUUGUUCUAACAAAAAUGCAAGAUAUAUAUUAAGUAAUAUCAUUUAUGAAGUUAAUUAAAAUAUUUAAUAUCAAUUAUUCACUAGAUAAAUAAUAGGUAGGACCUAAUUCAUAAUUCAAGUAAUUAAAUCAGGCUAAGAGAUUGUUUAAUUACUAAAAAUAACCUUUUUUUUUUCUUAAAAAACAUUAUUGACCCUUUUUAAAAUAUAAAAAUAGUAUAGCCGCACGGCUAUACUCGCUUUAAACCCUUUUUUUUCCAGAUUUUAAAAACAGUACAGCCGCAUGGUUUGACACGUGGCGCCUAGGUGCUGGCUAGAUUUUUUUAAUUUUUUUAAAAAUAGUAUAGCCGAGCGGCUAUACUCGCUUCAAAAAAAAAAUGUUCAGAACUGUACAGCCGCAAGGUUUGACACGUGGCGCCUGGGUGCUGGCUGGAUCCCUAUUAUGUAUAUAAAUAGUACAGCCGCCCGGCUAUAAUAGAUUUUUAAAUUUUUUUUAAACAUAGUAUAGCCGCGCGGCUAUACUCGCUUUUAAACCCUUUUUUUUUUUUUUUUUUUAAAUGUUCAGAACAGUACGGCCGCAUGGUUUGACACGUGGCGCCUAGGUGCUGGCUGGAUCCCUAUUAUGUAUAUAAAUAGUACAGCCGCCCGGGUGUAAUAGAUUUUUAAAAUUCUUUUUUGGAAAUAGUAUAGCCGCGCGGCUAUACUCGGUUUUAACCCCUUUUUUUUAAAAAAAAAUGUUCAGAACAGUACGGCCGCAUGGUUUGACACGGGGCGCCUAGGUGCUGGCUGGAUCCCUAUUAUGUAUAUAAAUAGUACAGCCGCCCGGCUAUAAUAGAUUUUUAAAUUUUUUUAAAAAAUAGUAUAGCCGCGCGGCUAUACUCGCUUUUAAACCCUUUUUUUUUUUUUUAAAUGUUCAGAACUGUACAGCCGCAAGGUUUGACACGUGGCGCCUAGGUGCUGGCUGGAUCCCUAUUAUGUAUAUAAAUAGUACAGCCGCCCGGCUAUAAUAGAUUUUUAAAUUUUUUUUUUUGAAAUAGUAUAGCCGCGCGGCUAUACUCGGUUUUAACCCCUUUUUUUGUUUUUUUUAAAAUGUUCAGAACAGUACGGCCGCAUGGUUUGACACGUGGCGCCUAGGUGCUGGCUGGAUCCCUAUUAUGUAUAUAAAUAGUAUAGCCGCCCGGCUAUACUAGAUUUUCUUAAUUUUUUUUAAAUAGUAUAGCCGCGCGGCUGUACCCUGCUAACGUAGCGAAUUUUGAAAAUAUAAAAUCAGUUUCUUUACUUUUGAUUUUUGUUGCCAACUUCUUUAAUUUCAUAUAUGUAAUUAAUUUAUAUCUUAGCCUUUUUGAAUUACUUGAAUUAGUAAGUACUUGAAGUUCAAUUUUUUUAAAUAUAUUUGAAGCCCUUGAAUUACUUUAAUUAAGGUCUUGAAGGGCUUAAUGAAUACAUUUAGAGACCUCGAAGGUUACGUAUUAUACAUGUACGUACGUGUUUUUCAUGUUUAACACACGUAUACACGCACAUAUUAUGGAAUAAAAAUAAUAUAUAUUUAAAAAAUACAGUAUAGUGACCGAAUUUUUGGGUUGUAAUGUGCCAAGAUAUUGCCGAAUCAAACACAUACGUAUUUAAUUCGCAUUUUUUUCCCUUCCGUAUUUUACUAACUAUGAAUGAAUGUGAGAGCUCACUUGUUCUAACAAAAAUGCAAGAUAUAUAUUAAGUAAUAUCAUUUAUGAAGUUAAUUAAAAUAUUUAAUAUCAAUUAUUCACUAGAUAAAUAAUAGGUAGGACCUAAUUCAUAAUUCAAGUAAUUAAAUCAGGCUAAGAGAUUGUUUAAUUACUAAAAAUAACCUUUUUUUUUUCUUAAAAAACAUUAUUGACCCUUUUUAAAAUAUAAAAAUAGUAUAGCCGCACGGCUAUACGCGCUUUAAACCCUUUUUUUUCCAGAUUUUAAAAACAGUACAGCCGCAUGGUUUGACACGUGGCGCCUAGGUGCUGGCUAGAUUUUUUAAAUUUUUUUUAAAAUAGUAUAGCCGAGCGGCUAUACUCGCUUUUAACCCCUUUUUUUUUUUGAAAAAAAAAAUGUUCAGAACUGUACAGCCGCAAGGUUUGACACGUGGCGCCUAGGUGCUGGCUGGAUCCCUAUUAUGUAUAUAAAUAGUACAGCCGCCCGGCUAUAAUAGAUUUUUAAAUUUUUUUUAAAAAUAGUAUAGCCGCGCGGCUAUACUCGCUUUUAAACCCUUUUUUUUUUUUUUUUUUUUUUUUUAUAAAUGUUCAGAACAGUACGGCCGCAUGGUUUGACACGUGGCGCCUAGGUGCUGGCUGGAUCCCUAUUAUGUAUAUAAAUAGUACAGCCGCCCGGCUAUAAUAGAUUUUUAAAAUUUUUUUUUUGAAAUAGUAUAGCCGCGCGGCUAUACUCGGUUUUAACCCCUUUUUGUUUUUUUUAAAAUGUUCAGAACAGUACGGCCGCAUGGUUUGACACGUGGCGCCUAGGUGCUGGCUGGAUCCCUAUUGUGUAUAUAAAUAGUAUAGCCGCCCGGCUAUACUAGAUUUUCUUAAUUUUUUUUUAAAUAGUAUAGCCGCGCGGCUGUACCCUGCUAACCUAGCGAAUUUUGAAAAUAUAAAAUCAGUUUCUUUACUUUUGAUUUUUGUUGCCAACUUCUUUAAUUUCAUAUAUGUAAUUAAUUUAUAUCUUAGCCUUUUUGAAUUACUUGAAUUAGUAAGUACUUGAAGUUCAAUUUUUUUAAAUAUAUUUGAAGCCCUUGAAUUACUUUAAUUAAGGUCUUGAAGGGCUUAAUGAAUACAUUUAGAGACCUCGAAGGUUACGUAUUAUACAUGUACGUACGUGUUUUUCAUGUUUAACACACGUAUACACGCACAUAUUAUGGAAUAAAAAUAAUAUAUAUUUAAAAAAUACAGUAUAGUGACCGAAUUUUUGGGUUGUAAUGUGCCAAGAUAUUGCCGAAUCAAACACAUACGUAUUUAAUUCGCAUUUUUUUCCCUUCCGUAUUUUACUAACUAUGAAUGAAUGUGAGAGCUCACUUGUUCUAACAAAAAUGCAAGAUAUAUAUUAAGUAAUAUCAUUUAUGAAGUUAAUUAAAAUAUUUAAUAUCAAUUAUUCACUAGAUAAAUAAUAGGUAGGACCUAAUUCAUAAUUCAAGUAAUUAAAUCAGGCUAAGAGAUUGUUUAAUUACUAAAAAUAACCUUUUUUUUUUCUUAAAAAACAUUAUUGACCCUUUUUAAAAUAUAAAAAUAGUAUAGCCGCACGGCUAUACGCGCUUUAAACCCUUUUUUUUCCAGAUUUUAAAAACAGUACAGCCGCAUGGUUUGACACGUGGCGCCUAGGUGCUGGCUAGAUUUUUUAAAUUUUUUUUAAAAUAGUAUAGCCGAGCGGCUAUACUCGCUUUUAACCCCUUUUUUUUUUUGAAAAAAAAAAAUGUUCAGAACUGUACAGCCGCAAGGUUUGACACGUGGCGCCUAGGUGCUGGCUGGAUCCCUAUUAUGUAUAUAAAUAGUACAGCCGCCCGGCUAUAAUAGAUUUUUAAAUUUUUUUUUUUGAAAUAGUAUAGCCGCGCGGCUAUACUCGGUUUUAACCCUUUUUUUUGUUUUUUUUAAAAUGUUCAGAACAGUACGGCCGCAUGGUUUGACACGUGGCGCCUAGGUGCUGGCUGGAUCCCUAUUGUGUAUAUAAAUAGUAUAGCCGCCCGGCUAUACUAGAUUUUCUUAAUUUUUUUUAAAUAGUAUAGCCGCGCGGCUGUACCCUGCUAACCUAGCGAAUUUUGAAAAUAUAAAAUCAGUUUCUUUACUUUUGAUUUUUGUUGCCAACUUCUUUAAUUUCAUAUAUGUAAUUAAUUUAUAUCUUAGCCUUUUUGAAUUACUUGAAUUAGUAAGUACUUGAAGUUCAAUUUUUUUAAAUAUAUUUGAAGCCCUUGAAUUACUUUAAUUAAGGUCUUGAAGGGCUUAAUGAAUACAUUUAGAGACCUCGAAGGUUACGUAUUAUACAUGUACGUACGUGUUUUUCAUGUUUAACACACGUAUACACGCACAUAUUAUGGAAUAAAAAUAAUAUAUAUUUAAAAAAUACAGUAUAGUGACCGAAUUUUUGGGUUGUAAUGUGCCAAGAUAUUGCCGAAUCAAACACAUACGUAUUUAAUUCGCAUUUUUUUCCCUUCCGUAUUUUACUAACUAUGAAUGAAUGUGAGAGCUCACUUGUUCUAACAAAAAUGCAAGAUAUAUAUUAAGUAAUAUCAUUUAUGAAGUUAAUUAAAAUAUUUAAUAUCAAUUAUUCACUAGAUAAAUAAUAGGUAGGACCUAAUUCAUAAUUCAAGUAAUUAAAUCAGGCUAAGAGAUUGUUUAAUUACUAAAAAUAACCUCUUUUUUUUCUUAAAAAACAUUAUUGACCCUUUUUAAAAUAUAAAAAUAGUAUAGCCGCACGGCUAUACGCGCUUUAAACCCUUUUUUUUCCAGAUUUUAAAAACAGUACAGCCGCAUGGUUUGACACGUGGCGCCUAGGUGCUGGCUAGAUUUUUUAAAUUUUUUUUAAAAUAGUAUAGCCGAGCGGCUAUACUCGCUUUUAACCCCUUUUUUUUUUUGAAAAAAAAAAUGUUCAGAACUGUACAGCCGCAAGGUUUGACACGUGGCGCCUAGGUGCUGGCUGGAUCCCUAUUAUGUAUAUAAAUAGUACAGCCGCCCGGCUAUAAUAGAUUUUUAAAUUUUUUUUAAAAAUAGUAUAGCCGCGCGGCUAUACUCGCUUUUAAACCCUUUUUUUUUUUUUUUUUUUUUUUUUAUAAAUGUUCAGAACAGUACGGCCGCAUGGUUUGACACGUGGCGCCUAGGUGCUGGCUGGAUCCCUAUUAUGUAUAUAAAUAGUACAGCCGCCCGGCUAUAAUAGAUUUUUAAAUUUUUUUUUUUGAAAUAGUAUAGCCGCGCGGCUAUACUCGGUUUUAACCCCUUUUUUUUGUUUUUUUUAAAAUGUUCAGAACAGUACGGCCGCAUGGUUUGACACGUGGCGCCUAGGUGCUGGCUGGAUCCCUAUUGUGUAUAUAAAUAGUAUAGCCGCCCGGCUAUACUAGAUUUUCUUAAUUUUUUUUUAAAUAGUAUAGCCGCGCGGCUGUACCCUGCUAACCUAGCGAAUUUUGAAAAUAUAAAAUCAGUUUCUUUACUUUUGAUUUUUUUUGCCAACUUCUUUAAUCUCAUAUAUGUAAUUAAUUUAUAUCUUAGCCUUUUUGAAUUACUUUAAUUAGUAAGUACUUGAUGUUCAAUUUUUUUAAAUAUAUUUGAAGCCCUUGAAUUACUUUAAUUAAGGUCUUGAAGGGCUUAAUGAAUACAUUUAGAGACCUCGAAGGUUACGAAUUAUACAUGUACGUACGUGUUUUUCAUGUUUAGCACACGUAUACACGCACAUAUUAUGGAAUAAAAAUAAUAUAUAUUUAAAAAAUAGAGUAUAGUGGCCGAACUUUUAAGUUGUAGUGUGCCAAGAUAUUGCCGAAUCAAACACAUACGUAUUUAAUUCGCAUUUUUUUCCCUUCCGUAUUUUACUAACUAUGAAUGAAUGUGAGAGCUCACUUGUUCUAACAAAAAUGCAAGAUAUAUAUUAAGUAAUAUCAUUUAUGAAGUUAAUUAAAAUAUUUAAUAUCAAUUAUUCACUAGAUAAAUAAUAGGUAGGACCUAAUUCAUAAUUCAAGUAAUUAAAUCAGGCUAAGAGAUUGUUUAAUUACUAAAAAUAACCUUUUUUUUUUUCUUAAAAAACAUUAUUGACCCUUUUUAAAAUAUAAAAAUAGUAUAGCCGCACGGCUAUACUCGCUUUAAACCCUUUUUUUUCCAGAUUUUAAAAACAGUACAGCCGCAUGGUUUGACACGUGGCGCCUAGGUGCUGGCUAGAUUUUUUUAAUUUUUUUAAAAAUAGUAUAGCCGAGCGGCUAUACUCGCUUCAAAAAAAAAAUGUUCAGAACUGUACAGCCGCAAGGUUUGACACGUGGCGCCUGGGUGCUGGCUGGAUCCCUAUUAUGUAUAUAAAUAGUACAGCCGCCCGGCUAUAAUAGAUUUUUAAAUUUUUUUUAAAAAUAGUAUAGCCGCGCGGCUAUACUCGCUUUUAAACCCUUUUUUUUUUUUUUUUUUUAAAUGUUCAAUGUUCAAAACAAUACGGCCGCAUGGGUUGACACAGUCCCGCCUAGGUGCUGGCUGGAUCCCUAUUAAUAUAAAUAGGACAGCCGCCCGGGCGUAAAAAAUUUUUAAAAUUCUUUUUUGGAAAUAGUAUAGCCGCUGGGCUAUACUCUGUUUUAACCCCUUUUUUUUUACAAAAAAUGCUCAGAAACAGCUCGGCCGCAUGGGAUUGACACGGGUGACACGGGGCGCCUAGGUGCUGGCUGGAUCCUAUUAUGUAUAUAAAUAGUACAGCCGCCCCGGCUAUAUAGAUUUUUAAAUUUUUUUUAAAAAUAGUAUAGCCGCACGGCUAUACGCGCUUUAAACCCUUUUUUUUCCAGAUUUUAAAAACAGUACAGCGGCAUGGUUUGACACGUGGCGCCUAGGUGCUGGCUAGAUUUUUUAAAUUUUUUUUAAAAUAGUAUAGCCGAGCGGCUAUACUCGCUUUUAACCCCUUUUUUUUUUUUUAAAAAAAUGUUCAGAACAGUACGGCCGCAUGGUUUGACACGGGGCGCCUAGGUGCUGGCUGGAUCCCUAUUAUGUAUAUAAAUAGUACAGCCGCCCGGCUAUAAUAGAUUUUUAAAUUUUUUUUAAAAAUAGUAUAGCCGCGCGGCUAUACUCGCUUUUAAACCCUUUUUUUUUUUUUUUUUUUUUUUU